CUUUAUAGCUCUUUGUGUCCACAGGAUCCACAUGGGGAAAUAAGAUCAAGAAUUCCAGAUUCAAGGUCAAAAUGUGUUUAGGGCGCAGACACAAACAUUUUUGCUAUUUGAUAUAAUAACUCCAAAGUCCGAGGAAGAGCCUGGUGCUCAAAACCCGGCCUGUUUGGCUGUUUUUUACAAAGUGAGGGCGAGAUCACGUUCACGGCUGUUGUGGCUGAAGUGCCGUUCUGGAGCACGUCCUCAUUCCACGCGGCACCAAAGCCACGACUGAUGCAGCAGUUGAUUCGUUCCAGGAGUCACUCGUCAGCGUCGCAGCCUGAUGAAACGAGGGCUGCAGUGGUUUCCUCUGCAGCAGGGAAAGAAAAACCAAUUAAAUAAGAAUAAAUAAAAUAAGAAAUAUGGCUCAUUAGCCAUAAUUCUUACUGUAACAGUUACUACACCCAAGUGCUGGCAUAUAGUCAAUAAGAAGACGAAAAGGCCGAUGCUAUUAGCAUUUGGGUGUCGGAGGCCAACAACACUAUUUUCACUCAGGCAGAACUGAGCUCAGAUAUUGCAUUACUCACCAGAGCGAAGCGUCUGCUGCAGACGUCCUUUUCUCCUGGAUGUUGGAUCGGAUCCCUGCUGCAGAGAUGUGCUGUAAUCAGUUUCUCCUUUUUUUACCUUUUUAAUUAAGUUAUUGUCGUGGUAGAAGAGCUCCGCCACCUCCCUGUGGAAACCAGAUUCUACUGUAUGUAUGUAUGUAUAUAUAUAUUAGAUAUAUUUCAAUGUAGUUUGUAAGUUUGUUUUUGUUGUACAUCGUUUUUGUAUGUUCCAUUCACUUCCACCCCGCGUGUGAUAGUCAGUGUUUCCAGCACCAGAGUCCCUGGUUGGUGCAGCAGGAUCUGGGGCCUCGUCCGGGUCUAUGAGGGAGGGGAAUGUCAUUUAGCUGCUUGUUUGAAACACUUUGCCUGUGGAGCGUACUGUAUAACCCAUGUAGUCAUCUGGGGGGGCGGAUGGGGCCCACAAAUGCAGUUUGUUACCAUGUGACACUUCUGCUGCUUAUUUCUGCUGCAUUCAUUCUGUGAUGGACAGAGUGGCUCGUUGGUUAUGUAGAGCUGUCAUGUGGAGAUGUCAUGUGGAGAUGUCAUGUAGAGAUGUCAUGUAGAGAUGUCAUGUGGAGAUGUCAUAUAGAGAUGUCAUGUGGAGAUGUCAUGUAGAGAUGUCAUGAGGAGAUGUCAUGGGGAGAUGUCAUGUAGAGAUGUCAUGAGGAGAUAUUAUGUAGAGAUGUCAUGUAGAGAUGUCAUGAGGAGAUAUUAUGUAGAGAUGUCAUGUAGAGAUGUCAUGUAGAGAUGUCAUGACAUUUAAAAGCAUAGAGACGAUGUUUAUUAUCAAAGACACGCUCCUGAUUAUCAAUCCGGUUUCUGAAGAGAACCUAAGAGAAUUCUGGUGCCAGACUUCAGUGUGGGACAAUAGUGUGAUUCUGGGUCGAUAAUGAUCCUCCACCCUGAGUGAUGAGGCAUAUUUUACAAUAAAGAAAAGUGCUUUGAGUGCAGUGUUUUUUUUUUCCUCUGCUUUAAUGGUCAGCGCGGGAGACCGCCUGCACUGCCGACAGUCCUCCGUCUGUUUAUCUGAGGCUGUGAUAGAUGGGCUGUGGACAUUCCCUCCCCCGCGUGUAGCGACAAUCAGUCUCCCCAUCACUGCUGAUAACACAGCGUGCCAAAAACACAAACUCAAACAGUGGCAGCAGGUCCUCGCAACAAACUGGGUUAAUGAUUCAGGAGGCCUGCCUGUCAGCCUCUGGACCUCCACAGGUCCAGACUUGUGUUUUCCAUCCAUCACAAGAUUUUUUGGGCCCAUAAUUGCAGCUUUACAAUAAAGGAACAUUGUUAAAUCCUUAACACAGCGGCAACUUGGUUCAUACAGUUACUUAGAAAAAUGAUAGAAGUAAAAUACAAACUCUUACUGAUGCAAAUGCUUACAUACAGUUUGAGAAAUCAGGCUUAAACAAAUGGUUCUUAUGAAGCCUUUUAGGUUUAUUGAACACAUUUUGAACCAAAUUGGAAUUUAACCAGUUAUUUACAGGCGCUAAGCCUCAAAAUUAGAAGUUCUGGACGGAGGCAGAAUAUCUCCAAUCACAGGACGGCUGACUGCGAUCCGAGGAUCAUUCUGUCGGCAAAUGAAGUGGCAAACUAAUCUAAUGUUUGUCAGCUGCAAUUUCCUGAUCCAAUUUGUAACCUGAGUUUCUCGAAGGGGAACUUAGCGUUGCAUCGGCAGUUUAACAGCCAGCGGAUUCUCAUCUGGUGGAGGAGAAAACAAUGAAUGUCCACUUGAAGAAUGCAGGGAAGUCCAGAACUUUAACAUUGUUUGACUUUCAUAACUAGUGAUUCAUUAUUCCUUAUUUAAGACUACAUUACCUCUAAUUUGACCACCUGUGUUUUCUGUUUAAUUACUGUACCGAGUUGUUUUAUAUGAUUUCCCAGGACACACUUGUCUGGCACUUCUUCCACAGGGAUAGAAUGAAUAUGUUUAGUCUUUUAACCACGCAGCAUUUCUAUUCUUUUUGGCACUCGUUGAGCGAUUCAGACUUGUAAAGACAAACUAAUUACAUAAAGUGUAAACCAUGUCACAUGAUGCUACUCAGACAAUCAAAUAUGUGUUUUCUGAUUUGCAUCACGAAUGCAGUUAGAUU
Long non-coding RNA from Gasterosteus aculeatus aculeatus (three-spined stickleback), 2668 nucleotides. The record is from Ensembl. NCBI's taxonomy places the organism in Eukaryota, Metazoa, Chordata, Actinopteri, Perciformes, Gasterosteidae.